GCGGCCGUAACUAUAACGGUCCUAAGGUAGCGAAAUUCCUUGUCGGGUAAGUUCCGACCCGCACGAAAGGCGUAACGAUUUGGGCACUGUCUCAACGAGAGACUCGGUGAAAUCAUAGUACCUGUGAAGAUGCAGGUUACCCGCGACAGGACGGAAAGACCCCGUGGAGCUUUACUGUAGCCUGAUAUUGAAAUUCGGCACAGCUUGUACAGGAUAGGUAGGAGCCUUUGAAACGUGAGCGCUAGCUUACGUGGAGGCGCUGGUGGGAUACUACCCUAGCUGUGUUGGCUUUCUAACCCGCACCACUUAUCGUGGUGGGAGACAGUGUCAGGCGGGCAGUUUGACUGGGGCGGUCGCCUCCUAAAAGGUAACGGAGGCGCUCAAAGGUUCCCUCAGAAUGGUUGGAAAUCAUUCAUAGAGUGUAAAGGCAUAAGGGAGCUUGACUGCGAGACCUACAAGUCGAGCAGGGUCGAAAGACGGACUUAGUGAUCCGGUGGUUCCGCAUGGAAGGGCCAUCGCUCAACGGAUAAAAGCUACCCCGGGGAUAACAGGCUUAUCUCCCCCAAGAGUUCACAUCGACGGGGAGGUUUGGCACCUCGAUGUCGGCUCAUCGCAUCCUGGGGCUGUAGUCGGUCCCAAGGGUUGGGCUGUUCGCCCAUUAAAGCGGUACGCGAGCUGGGUUCAGAACGUCGUGAGACAGUUCGGUCCCUAUCCGUCGUGGGCGUAGGAAAUUUGAGAGGAGCUGUCCUUAGUACGAGAGGACCGGGAUGGACAUACCUCUGGUGUACCAGUUGUCGUGCCAACGGCAUAGCUGGGUAGCUAUGUGUGGACGGGAUAAGUGCUGAAAGCAUCUAAGCAUGAAGCCCCCCUCAAGAUGAGAUUUCCCAACUUCGGUUAUAAGAUCCCUCAAAGAUGAUGAGGUUAAUAGGUUCGAGGUGGAAGCAUGGUGACAUGUGGAGCUGACGAAUACUAAUCGAUCGAAGACUUAAUCAA
This 993-nucleotide ribosomal RNA is filed under the name Staphylococcus aureus. Its description in RNAcentral is "partial 23S ribosomal RNA". It matches the Rfam family "Bacterial large subunit ribosomal RNA", at positions 1930 to 2925 of the family's 2925-position model. The record is from RNAcentral. Lineage: Bacteria; Bacillati; Bacillota; Bacilli; Caryophanales; Staphylococcaceae.